UGACCCUCAUGGGUCACCUAGCCAACUGACGUUGUUAGUGAACUUAGUAUUCACAAAUUACAGCCAGUAGAACCAAGUUUCUACUGGCUAUUUUUUC
RNAcentral lists this small RNA (97 nucleotides) under Vibrio tubiashii. RNAcentral describes it as "Qrr RNA". It matches the Rfam family "Qrr RNA". Rfam says of the family: This family represents a set of small RNAs (the Qrr RNAs) that are thought to be involved in the regulation of quorum sensing in Vibrio species. It is believed that these RNAs, guided by a protein, Hfq, can mediate the destabilisation of the quorum-sensing master regulators LuxR/HapR mRNAs. The record is from RNAcentral. Lineage: Bacteria; Pseudomonadati; Pseudomonadota; Gammaproteobacteria; Vibrionales; Vibrionaceae.